RNAcentral lists this ribosomal RNA (463 nucleotides) under uncultured bacterium. RNAcentral's name for it is "partial 16S ribosomal RNA". It matches the Rfam family "Bacterial small subunit ribosomal RNA", at positions 28 to 508 of the family's 1533-position model. The record is from RNAcentral.
GACGAACGCUGGCGGCGUGCUUAACACAUGCAAGUCGAGCGGUAAGGCCCUUCGGGGUACUCGAGCGGCGAACGGGUGAGUAACACGUGAGUAACCUGCCCCAGACUUUGGGAUAACCCUCGGAAACGGGGGCUAAUACCGGAUACGACACAGCUUCGCAUGGGGUCUGUGUGGAAAGUUUUUCGGUUUGGGAUGGGCUCGCGGCCUAUCAGCUUGUUGGUGGGGUGAUGGCCUACCAAGGCGACGACGGGUAGCCGGCCUGAGAGGGCGACCGGCCACACUGGGACUGAGACACGGCCCAGACUCCUACGGGAGGCAGCAGUGGGGAAUAUUGCACAAUGGGCGGAAGCCUGAUGCAGCGACGCCGCGUGAGGGAUGACGGCCUUCGGGUUGUAAACCUCUUUCAGCAGGGACGAAGCGUAAGUGACGGUACCUGCAGAAGAAGCGCCGGCCAACUACGUGC